UCCCUGGUGGCUCAGAGGAUUAAGCGUCUGCCUGCAAUGCAGGAGACCUGGGUUUGAUCCCUGGGUUGGGAA
Molecule: non-coding RNA, 72 nt
Organism: Bos taurus (domestic cattle)
Lineage: Eukaryota; Metazoa; Chordata; Mammalia; Artiodactyla; Bovidae
Source: Rfam